RNAcentral lists this transfer RNA (84 nucleotides) under Candidatus Uabimicrobium amorphum. RNAcentral's name for it is "Uabimicrobium amorphum tRNA". It matches the Rfam family "tRNA". Rfam says of the family: Transfer RNA (tRNA) molecules are approximately 80 nucleotides in length. Lineage: Bacteria; Pseudomonadati; Planctomycetota; Candidatus Uabimicrobiia; Candidatus Uabimicrobiales; Candidatus Uabimicrobiaceae. The record is from Rfam by way of RNAcentral.
GACCUUGUGGUGAAAUUUAGGUAGUCACGCAACACUCAGAGCGUUGUGCCGAAAGGUAUGGGGGUUCGAGUCCCCCCAAGGUCA